AUGGAUGGGCUCCGAGGGGCUUGCGGGAGGGGGGCGCCAGUGUUCGGGGCCGUUUUGGCGGCUAUGCAGGAUUGGCAGGAGCUGCGAUGCUCACACUUGCCUCGCCGACCGCCAUUUCACAUCCAGCAGAGGAGGCGGGGGCAGCCGCUGAGACGGUUUUUCACAAGAAAUUAUUUUAAUAGAGAUGAGGUCUCACUAUAUUGCCCAAGCUGGUCUCGAACUCCUGGGCUCAAGCGAUCUUCCUGCCUCAGCCUCCCAAAGUGCUGAGAUAACAGGUAUGAGCCACCAUGCCCUGCGAAAUUAUUCUUUUUGAGACAGAGUGAGACUCUGUCACCCAGGCUGGGGUGCAGUGACCCAAUCUCAACUCACUGCAGUCUUGACUUCCCAGGCUCAAGCAAUCCUCCCACCUCAGCCUCCUGAGUAGCUGGGACUACAGGCGUGCACCUCUACACCCAGCUAUUUUUCAUAUUUUUUUGGAGACAGGGUUUCACUAUAUUGCCCAGGCUGGUCUCGAACUCCUGAGCUCAAGUGAUCUGCCUGCCUUGGCCUCCCAAAGUGCUGGGAUUACAGGUGUGAGCCAUGGCGCCCAGCCUCAAGCUAAAUUAUUCUUUGUGUCAUCCCUUUUCUUUCCUUCACUUUCAGAUAACUCAGUUUUCUUAACUACUGUAGGGCAAAUGUCUGAGUCAUUUAGUUCAGUGUUCCUCAACCAGGGGUGAUUUUUGCCGCCCUAGGGGACAUUUGGCAAAAUAUCUGGAGGCAUUUUUGAUUAUCACAUCUUACAAUGCAUAGGGCAGCCCCUGCAGCGCAAAGAAUUAUCAGGUCCAAAGUGUCAAUAGUGCAGGUGUUGAAAAACCCUGGCCUAGUUUAAAGUAAAUUUGUACCCAGCCCUUCAUCCAGUCUCUUGCCUUUAUGAAACCAUGAUGGAAAAGAAACUCAUUCCCUUUCAGAGGCAUUUGGAAGGCCUAAGUAAGUACGGCAAACUUUGGAGUCAAUUGCAUCAACCAUACAAAGUCCCAAAAGGCUUUAUAUGCAGGUUUCUGCAAUUUCUCCAUAGAACCUUCCUGGGUACAAGGUAGGCACAUAAAUAUUUGUUGCCUAAAUGAAUAAUAAUAAAAUAAUUCUUGGCUAAAAGACAUAUUUUAUUUCUUUCUCUUUAAACCAAAGUCAGAUUUAUCAUGUGGUGAGAGAUGAAUUUCCUGAACAGAGAUCUCUCUAUUCAUUUUAACCAAUUAAUUUACUCAGUUACUCAGAGAAGCAAAACUUUUCUGAAACAACUUCCACUUCCAUAAGUUAGCAGUAAUAGUCUUAAGGAAGGAAUUGAUAGCCUAUAAAUUAAAGAUGAUGUUUGAGGAACAAGAAAUAAAAGAAACUUUCAGAAUAGAGUAAUAUUAGAACUGAUGCCUGAGCUUUCCAGGACCCUCAUUUAAAUUACAUAUCCAGAAUUGAUAUUGGAGCAUUUCCAAUGGAUUAUAUUAUAGAUAGGCAGGAGGAGACCAAACACACAUAGAGUAAGGAUAGAUAAAAUUCCCAAUUUAAAUAAUUAAGAUGCAAAAUCUCAGAAGCUAGGUAUCUAUUUGGAUCAACAUAUCUCAGGGUAGUUUCCCCUGGCCCCAAAGUUUAUUGCAUUUUAAUAUUCACAGUGUAAAUCACAUUCCAGAAAAACUCCCACUAAAAAGCUUUUUACUGAGACUGGGCAGGGUGGCUCAUGCCUGUAAUCCCAGUACUUUGGAAGACCAAGGUGAGAUUAUUGCUUGAGCCCAGAAGUUUGAGACCAGCUUGGGCAACAUAGUGAGACCUUGUCGCUACAAAAAAUUAACAAUUAGCCAGGCGUGGUGAUGUAUGCCUGUAGUCCCACUUACUCAGGAGGCUGAGGCAGGAGGAUCACUGGAGCCUAGGAAGUUGAAGCUGCAGUGAGCCAUGAUCACCACUGCACUCCAGCCUGGGUCACAGAGCAAGACCCUGUCUCAAAAAACACACACACAGAAAACUUUGUUAUUGACACUGGAUUCUCCUAGAUUUUGCUUUAUUUUACAUCCUCAUUCCAGAGGCCAGAAAAGACUACUUAUUCUCAGAUGUGUAAAUAUAGAUAAGUCCUUCUGUUUCUUCAUUUUCUCAAUAAAAUGUAUUUUUCCAAUUUUAAAAGUUUUUAAAUGCAUAGCAUGGAAAACAUGGAGGACAAUAAAGAAAAAUAUAGAACAUUCAG
Molecule: long non-coding RNA, 2203 nt
Filed under: Homo sapiens (human)
Lineage: Eukaryota; Metazoa; Chordata; Mammalia; Primates; Hominidae
Description: HSALNT0336238
Source: RNAcentral